UGGGGAAUUUUCCGCAAUGGGCGAAAGCCUGACGGAGCAAGACCGCGUGAGGGAGGAAGGCCUACUGGUUGUAAACCUCUUUUGAUAGGGAAGAACACAAUGACGGUACCUAUCGAAUCAGCCUCGGCUAACUCCGUGCCAGCAGCCGCGGUAAUACGGAGGAGGCAAGCGUUAUCCGGAAUUAUUGGGCGUAAAGCGUCCGUAGGUGGUUGUCCAAGUCAGUUGUUAAAGCGUAGAGCUUAACUCUAUAACGGCAAUUGAAACUGGUCAGCUAGAGUGCGAUAGGGGCAAGGGGAAUUCCCAGUGUAGCGGUGAAAUGCGUAGAUAUUGGGAAGAACAUCGGUGGCGAAAGCGCCUUGCUGGGUCUGCACUGACACUGAGGGACGAAAGCUAGGGGAGCGAAAGGGAUUAGAUACCCCUGUAGUCA
RNAcentral lists this ribosomal RNA (427 nucleotides) under uncultured Oscillatoriales cyanobacterium. RNAcentral describes it as "bacterial SSU rRNA". It matches the Rfam family "Bacterial small subunit ribosomal RNA", at positions 355 to 796 of the family's 1533-position model. Lineage: Bacteria; Bacillati; Cyanobacteriota; Cyanophyceae; Oscillatoriales. The record is from RNAcentral.